UACGUAGGGGGCAAGCGUUGUCCGGAUUUAUUGGGCGUAAAGAGCGUGUAGGCGGCCAUUCAGGUCAGCUGUGAAAACUCGAGGCUCAACCUCGAGACGUCGGUUGAAACCGUAUGGCUAGAGUCCGGAAGAGGAGAGUGGAAUUCCCGGUGUAGCGGUGAAAUGCGUAGAUAUCGGGAAGAACACCCGUGGCGAAGGCGGCUCUCUGGGACGGUACUGACGCUGAGACGCGAAAGCGUGGGGAGCGAACAGG
Molecule: ribosomal RNA, 253 nt
Filed under: uncultured bacterium
Lineage: Bacteria
Description: partial 16S ribosomal RNA
Rfam family: Bacterial small subunit ribosomal RNA
Source: RNAcentral